This 246-nucleotide ribosomal RNA is filed under the name uncultured bacterium. Its description in RNAcentral is "partial 16S ribosomal RNA". It matches the Rfam family "Bacterial small subunit ribosomal RNA", at positions 109 to 354 of the family's 1533-position model. The record is from RNAcentral.
AGUAACGCGUGAGGAACCUGCCUUCCAGAGGGGGACAACAGUUGGAAACGACUGCUAAUACCGCAUGAUGCGUUGGAGCCGCAUGACUCCGACGUCAAAGAUUUAUCGCUGGAAGAUGGCCUCGCGUCUGAUUAGCUAGUUGGUGAGGUAACGGCCCACCAAGGCGACGAUCAGUAGCCGGACUGAGAGGUUGGCCCGGCCACAUUGGGACUGAGAUACGGCCCAGACUCCUACGGGAGGCAGCAG